Molecule: ribosomal RNA, 392 nt
Filed under: Staphylococcus aureus
Lineage: Bacteria; Bacillati; Bacillota; Bacilli; Caryophanales; Staphylococcaceae
Description: partial 23S ribosomal RNA
Rfam family: Bacterial large subunit ribosomal RNA
Source: RNAcentral
CAUCGCCGGGGAGGUUUGGCGCCUCGAUGUCGGCUCAUCGCAUCCUGGGGCUGUAGUCGGUCCCAAGGGUUGAGCUGUUCGCCCAUUAAAGCGGUACGCGAGCUGGGUUCAGAACGUCGUGAGACAGUUCGGUCCCUAUCCGUCGUGGGCGUAGGAAAUUUGAGAGGAGCUGUCCAUAGUACGAGAGGACCGGGAUGGACAUACCUCUGGUGUACCAGUUGUCGUGCCAACGGCAUAGCUGGGUAGCUAUGUGUGGACGGGAUAAGUGCUGAAAGCAUCUAAGCAUGAAGCCUCCCUCAAGAUGAGAUUUCCCAACUUCGGUUAUAAGAUCCCUCAAAGAUGAUGAGGUUAAUGGGUUCGAGGUGGAAGCAUGGUGACAUGUGGAGCUGACG